Molecule: ribosomal RNA, 467 nt
Filed under: uncultured bacterium
Lineage: Bacteria
Description: partial 16S ribosomal RNA
Rfam family: Bacterial small subunit ribosomal RNA
Source: RNAcentral
GACGAACGCUGGCGGCGUGCUUAACAUAUGCAAGUCGAACGGAAAGGCCUCUUUCGGGGGGUACUCGAGUGGCGAACGGGUGAGUAACACGUGAGUAACCUGCCCUUGACUUUGGGAUAACUUCAGGAAACUGGGGCUAACACCGGAUAGGAGCUCCUGCUGCAUGGUGGGGGUUGGAAAGUUUCGGCGGUUGGGGAUGGACUCGCGGCUUAUCAGCUUGUUGGUGGGGUAGUGGCUUACCAAGGCUUUGACGGGUAGCCGGCCUGAGAGGGUGACCGGCCACAUUGGGACUGAGAUACGGCCCAGACUCCUACGGGAGGCAGCAGUGGGGAAUAUUGCACAAUGGGUGGAAGCCUGAUGCAGCAACGCCGUGUGCGGGAUGACGGCCUUCGGGUUGUAAACCGCUUUCGCUCAUGACGAAGCUUUGUGUGACGGUAGUGGGUAAAGAAGCACCGGCUAACUACGUG